UGAUAGAAAAGCACCAUAUUUUUAUUUAUUUGUUUGUCUCAUUUGUAUAUAACCCAACUGGCGACAUCCUUGGGCUGUUUAAACCAAUGUUAGUAAAAGACAAAAGCAGUCCAUAAAAGCACAAAUUGUACCAUAAAAACAAAUCAGGCAAGCCAAACGGCAUCAAAAUAUUACGCCACUAGGAUGUUACAAACCACAAUGCAAUUUAAACAGAAAAAAAAAAUCUAUGGCUCAAGGUCUGUUGGUAAAGGAGGCUCCUGGGCUUUCUAAAUGGUGCUGAAAGACCUUUUCACAGAAGAUGCCACAACGGAGUCGGUCUGUUUCAAUGUCAGCCGCCUGUCUUACCUUUUCACGUGGGCUGAGCUGUGAAAUGAGAUGUGAAAAAUGUUUCCCUUCACCUUAUGAAUGGAUGGCCUGUGUUUGUUCCUCCAGCAUGGCCGCCCGGUGUUUCUGGGAUGCGGACACAGACAACUAUGCUCAGGAUGUUUUCAUGAAUGACAGCCUCUUCUGUGUGGCAGUGGCCUUUGGCUGUUUCUUCUAUUGACACAGAUGAAAAUGU
Pogona vitticeps (central bearded dragon) is the source of this 559-nucleotide non-coding RNA. The record is from RefSeq and is a predicted model, not a curated record. NCBI's taxonomy places the organism in Eukaryota, Metazoa, Chordata, Lepidosauria, Squamata, Agamidae.